AGAGAAAUUCUGACUCAUUUCUCCAGAUUGUAGGAUACUGCACCUUUGUCUACACAGUAAGAAUUUUAGGCAUCAUAAGAAUGAGUGGCUACAUUUUUAAACUCUUCAGUUUCAGGAGCAUAGAAUUAUUUGUGAAAAAUCUACACUAUAGAAUAGAUUACACUUUGAAAACCCUGAUACACAGUGCCAGGGUAUAGUUGUAUUUAGAAUAUUCAUACAUUCAAUUUGUCUGGACAGUCCUGGAUUUUUUCCUCUUCUCCUGACAUAGUUAUUCAUAAAUUUCCCUUUUACCUUAAAAAGAAUCCUGCUUUGUAUUAUAAAUUAUAUAGUCACCUUAGCUAUAGUGCCUAUGUUAUAUCUAUAUAUUUUCUUCAAAUUAAUUCCACAGCUUUGCUUUAAAUAAGAGCUAAAUUGAUUCCCACUAAAUCCUGAGAGUGACUUGAGGAGCUAUUACUUUCAAAAUACACUGGUUUCUGGAAUACCAUUCUGGAAUUGGUACAAUGUAGCUGAAAGAUAGCUGUUCAGAAAAAAAUUGUAAAAGCCUAAGUUACUCAGACUGCUGACAUUUUCAGGGCAACCAUACCUAAAACAAAAUGAAUUUCAGCAUUUCAAAAUAGGUCUAAAAAUAAAUUAAAUUAUACAGAAUUUGAUUGAGGCCAUAAUCACCAAAAUAAAGUCCCCAGAAGUUCAUGUUUUAAAUUUUCAAGAAAUACUGCCAAUAUUUUUCUUUAACUACUGACGUCAAAAUUCAAUUCACAUUUUUUACUUAGUCAUACAUGUGGCUCCAAAUUUCCUUUCCAGCAUAACACUCAUGAGCCUAGCAACUUCAUUUGUAUUUUUAACCCAAUCUCUUUUCACAUUUUUUAAAAUGUUCAUAUUGUUUUAUUUGUUAACACUUACAUUUCACUUACUAGGUAUCAGAAGAUUUUGUAAGUAAGAGCUUUUAUAAAAAUAGGCACAUUUAGUCCUCAUAAAUCCCUGUAAGUAGGCCCUUACUAUUAUCAGAGCCCCAUUUCACUGAUGAUGAAGCUGAGGUCAGGGCAGUUAGAUAACUAGAUCACAAGAUGAAUAUUCAAGAUUUAGACCCAGGCACCUAACUAAAGAGCCCAUGACGUUAGCCACUAUGCUGUGUUCCUUCUUUAUCAUCCCUUUAAAUAGGCAAGUGGCAACUUCCAUAUUAUUGAAGUAGUGACAGAUCAAACGGUGAAGAGAGUCUGCCUCAUGUUUAAUUAACUAAUUAAUUAAUUUAAGUUAUUUGCUGAGCAGCUACUUUUGGCAAGGCACUGCAUUAGGCACUGGAGAAACAGAGAUGAAUUUAACUUAUUUCUAAAACACCAGAAGAUUUGAAAGAUCAGGGGCCUCCAAAUUUAAAACAUUUAAAUGUCUAAAACCUAGAAAUAAUUUACAUUUUUCCAUCGAGAUGGAACUGGUUCUAUGUCAAAUAUGUAUGCACUAUGUGUCUUAGAGAACCUAAAUGGGCAGGAGUGGCUUGAGGUGGUACAGGAGAGUUCUGGGAGGAUGGGCUCUGAAAGAACACAAGCUACAUACACUUAAAUCACAGCUUUGUUACAUGCUACUUGGGUAGCCUUGGGAAAGCUUACUGACUUCAUCUUUUCAAUCUGUAAAAUAGGAAUAAUCAAACACCUACUUAAUAAGAUAUUAUGAGGAUUGGGAAAAAAUUUCAGAAUAGUACUGGCACAUUGUAAGUGCCCAAUAAAUGACAGUUAUUAUUACUAUCAUUUAAAGUGUCCAUAACAUACUCUGCUACUUAAUUCAUCCCAGUUACAUAGUUAUAGAAUAAAUAUAAAUUGUCAUAGAUAAUUUAGCAAGCCCAGUCUUCAAACUCAUCAUCAAGAUACCAGUGUACAUAAAUAUAAAUAAACUAAAAUCACCAAAAAGAAAAAAAUCCAGGAUCUGAGUUUUCACUUGAGCUAUGCUUAAACUAGGUGUGGGGAUAGGGAGGAGGUGAUUAUUCCAAUUCUGGAACAAUGGAAUCGAUAGCAAGGAGGCCUUGCCCGGUUAUAUUAUAAUGUCAUUACUUCAGACAACAUUUUCUGUUUUUUUUUGUGCAUUUUUCUUGGAAUCUUUAACUGAAAUCCACACAUAUUAGUUCUGCUGGAUUGGCAAUAAAAUGCCUGGAAUUUCUAGUUUUUAUCUAGGUAUUCCAACAUUCAGCUAAAAUAAUUAAAAGGUAUGUUUCAUCUACAUUUUUUUAUAUUUUAAUGCUAUGUUCUCAGAUAUUCUAACUGAAAUCUCUAAGCCCUCUCUUUCGAAAAAAAAUUUUUAAGUGUUACCAGUGAUUUUUCAAAUGCCAUAUAGGAAGUAUUUAUCAAAUUACUCUUGCCUAUUCAUUUACACGUAAGAUUAAUUUUCAUUUCUAUAGCUGAGCUGUACUUCAACUGAACAUUUAGCUUUAUUUUCUAUUACUGAAGGAAAAUCAAGAAUAUUAUAAAACUCUUACUUGGUAAAAAUCUAGAAAACAUAAUCAGUAUCCCUCACAUUUUCAAAAAUUUAGAUUAAUAACAAAAAGUACUGAUAGAACUCUUUUAAAUUAAUUAUGCUCCAGAGGGAAAUUAAUUAUUGAAGUUACUGGCCCCCUCAAAGGAGCCAAUAAUUAAAAUGAAUGUUGUAUAAUAACUAACUCACACUAUGCUCACAUUGUUGUGAAUAUAUUUAAAAUAAUGAAUGUUGGUGGGUAUGAAAUUUCAGUAGGAUACCUGCCCACUCUAGAAACAUGAACUGUGCUAAGAAACAAGUCCUGCAAUUUUAGAGUGAGAAUUGAACUGAAGCCGGGAAACAGGGCAAAAGGAUCAUUUUGUGGCCCCCACAAAAUCAUUAGUGGAUUUUAUGUAGUCCUUCACUGGGGGAGCAAAUUUUGAGAAGAGCAGUUUGGGAAUCCAUAAAUCCUACUGAGUCUUGGUUAAGCGACAUUCAUUAUAAAGAACACCUGGAGGGAAGACCUGAGAAUUGAGUCACAGCUAGAAAGAUCAGAUUACCUGGGCUCUGCGUGUCUUGAUUAAGGCAGCCUAGGAAGAGAAUGAUCUUUCUCUGCAGUCAUUUCAGUAAUAUUAUAUUGGGAUAAAGUUAGCAGUUUAUCGAAUACUAUGCUGUUUCUGUUGCUUACAUAUUUCCUCACUUAUUGUGUAAUUUUGAAUAAUUGAUACCAUUUAUGGUUAUAAAUGCAUUUUGUUUCUAUUGAAUGCAUUUAUAUCCUAGCUGAAUGUUUAUUUAUCACAAGUUUAUUAACUUUCAUGCCUAUCAAUUUGGAAUUAGGCAGAACCAUAAAAAUUUAAAUACAUUUAUGUAUGUGUAUACAUAUUCAAAUGCAAACUAUUGAAUAUGAAUUUUUCCCUAAUCAAGAUUUUCAUCAUAGUUUACGCAGAUAAUAAGCAAUAUUGAAAAUAAUUUAAAACAACUCAUGCUAAAUUAAAGGGAGAAAAAAAUUCUAGGAACACUGCUAAGUAGUCAAUAAUUGAUACUAGGUUCUGAAUCUGAGGCUUGGAAAACUGCCAGGAAAUCCGCUCAAAUGAAAGUGUGAAUAUGAAAAGCAGUUUUUGGAAGAGGGAUCCUGGUGUGAGAAGGGGCAUCUAAACAGGACAGUUCCACAGAUCCAAAGGUUUGGUAAUAUUGAGCACUGAUUUCUCUAAAUAAAUACUUUGAGCAUGUUUUUGUUCAUUUGUUCUUUUAUUGGCUUAUUUAUUUAUUUAUUUAUUUUGCUUUUUGGUUACACCCCCAGCAUGUGGGAAGUUACCAGGCCAGAGACAGAACCCACACCACACUAGUGGUGACAAUGCCAGAUCCUAACCACUAUGAAAUGUGCAAUUAAGUAGACAAUAAUUUGACAAGAGGUACCAAAGGUUUUUAAGAUAUACAAUCUUACCAGCAAUUAUACUUCUAGGAGUAUAUACUAAGGAAAAAAUCUGUACGUUUUUACAACUGUGAAGAGUUGGAAAUAGUAGGGUUCAAGAAGAUGGUAUUGUUGGUAAUAUGUUAUUUCCUUCAAUGCAAUACUUAAAUAAUUUAUGGACUAGCCAUGUAAUGAAUAUUAAAAAAUCAUUAAAACAUACACAUGUUCAGGAUAAAUUUUUCAUUGAGGAAAACAGGCUAGAGUUUCAUAUAUAUAUGAUGCUAUCCUGAUCAUAUUAAAAAAAACAUUUGUGUGCAUGUGUGAGCGUAUGUGUACAUGUGUAUUUUUGUAGAAAAUUUAUAGACAGAAUACAUGCCAUCAUUUAAACAGUGGCUUUCUUUUAGGGUCAAGAUUAUAGGUCUUUUUUUUCUCCUUUUCUAACUUUUUGACAGUGGAGUUAAAUCACUUUGGGAAACAGUAGAGACAUGAAGUCCUUGUUGAGGUGGUGAAAUCCCUGUAUCAGGAUGUGACUGAUGAAGUGUCUGCUGAUACCACACAGGCCUUACAAUCUGAAUCCAUGACUCAGAGUUGAGGCAAAAGAAUGAAAUGUGUUUGAAGACACAUAUUUUCGUGUGUGGAGAAAAGAGAAAAGGACAUCAGAAUA
This 4511-nucleotide long non-coding RNA is filed under the name Sus scrofa (pig). RNAcentral describes it as "lncRNA (ENSSSCG00060048053.1)". The record is from RNAcentral. Lineage: Eukaryota; Metazoa; Chordata; Mammalia; Artiodactyla; Suidae.